UGGGCUGCCCAAAAUCCAUCUGUCACAAUGAAUAGCCAUCCAUGCUUGCCAUCCACUAAUUCUCCCUCCCUAUCCCUCCGCACAUGCACAUUUUGAUCAGCACCGCCACUGUGAUUCUGUCUCUUCUUUCCUCAAACUGAACACCAUAGCAGUUUCCCAGCCUCACUGUGAUUCCGUCUCUUCUUUCCUUCAAACUGAACACCAUAGCACUUUCAAUAUGCAGCAAAUGAUCAGUGAAGAGGUGGCUGGGAUGGCUCGACCCGAACGUUUUUUGGCUCAUCAUGUCGAACUCAGUUGUCAACUCCAUCGGAAGUCACCACGGGGAAAAAAAAAAUUAUAUCAAUGUUUUAAAUACCCGAUGGAGUCAUGCAGUCAGGUCUUGUGUUUGUCAUGGGGGGAUGACGACAUGGACAAUGAUAGAAAUGGCAGCAGCGGCUCCCAGCGUCGAGAAUGCCUAGAGAGGAAUGACGACGGCGUCAAGAAGGAGAAAGAAUAACGCUGGUGUCGGGGUGUGUGUUGUUUCUUUGAAAAAAAAAACACCCGUUGGGGACCGACCAUACCUGUGCGUUAGCGACGUUGCUCAAGAAUUUAUUGGGUAUGCUAAUUGAUAUUGUUCCUGGUGCAAUGAUGAAUCCAGCACUUCAAGUCUCUCUUAAUUUGGAGUUUGUGCACUUGAUGAAAAGAAUUCAAAAAAUUAUAGUUGUGAUAAAAAUUCUAAUAUUUUAUGUAAGACUUUCUAUUUCAAAUAAAAAAUAAGAACUAUGUACAAGCAUGCACUAAAUUUCUUAAAUUAAAAUUGGUAUAGAAUAA
Vitis vinifera (wine grape) is the source of this 810-nucleotide long non-coding RNA. RefSeq lists it as uncharacterized. The record is from RefSeq and is a predicted model, not a curated record. NCBI's taxonomy places the organism in Eukaryota, Viridiplantae, Streptophyta, Magnoliopsida, Vitales, Vitaceae. The transcript is spliced from 2 exons.